Molecule: ribosomal RNA, 717 nt
Filed under: Rhodococcus sp. MZ0484B
Lineage: Bacteria; Bacillati; Actinomycetota; Actinomycetes; Mycobacteriales; Nocardiaceae
Description: bacterial SSU rRNA
Rfam family: Bacterial small subunit ribosomal RNA
Source: RNAcentral
GGCCUUUCGGGGUACACGAGCGGCGAACGGGUGAGUAACACGUGGGUGAUCUGCCCUGCACUUCGGGAUAAGCCUGGGAAACUGGGUCUAAUACCGGAUAUGACCUCAGGUUGCAUGACUUGGGGUGGAAAGAUUUAUCGGUGCAGGAUGGGCCCGCGGCCUAUCAGCUUGUUGGUGGGGUAAUGGCCUACCAAGGCGACGACGGGUAGCCGACCUGAGAGGGUGACCGGCCACACUGGGACUGAGACACGGCCCAGACUCCUACGGGAGGCAGCAGUGGGGAAUAUUGCACAAUGGGCGAAAGCCUGAUGCAGCGACGCCGCGUGAGGGAUGACGGCCUUCGGGUUGUAAACCUCUUUCAGCAGGGACGAAGCGCAAGUGACGGUACCUGCAGAAGAAGCACCGGCUAACUACGUGCCAGCAGCCGCGGUAAUACGUAGGGUGCAAGCGUUGUCCGGAAUUACUGGGCGUAAAGAGUUCGUAGGCGGUUUGUCGCGUCGUUUGUGAAAACCAGCAGCUCAACUGCUGGCUUGCAGGCGAUACGGGCAGACUUGAGUACUGCAGGGGAGACUGGAAUUCCUGGUGUAGCGGUGAAAUGCGCAGAUAUCAGGAGGAACACCGGUGGCGAAAGCCGGUCUCUGGGCAGUAACUGACGCUCAGGAACGAAAGCGUGGGUAGCGAACAGGAUUAGAUACCCUGGUAGUCCACGCCGUAUAC